RNAcentral lists this ribosomal RNA (480 nucleotides) under uncultured bacterium. RNAcentral's name for it is "bacterial SSU rRNA". It matches the Rfam family "Bacterial small subunit ribosomal RNA", at positions 29 to 507 of the family's 1533-position model. The record is from RNAcentral.
AAUGAACGUUGGCGGCGUGGAUUAGGCAUGCAAGUCGAACGAGAACCCCGCAAGGGGUGAAAGUGGCAAACGGCGUAGUAAGGCGUAGGUGACGUACCUCCCGAUUCAGGAUAGCUACGGGAAACUGUAGGUAAUACUGGAUGAUCCCUCCGAGAUUGAAAAUCGGAGUGCAAAGGUGUGAUUCCGUCGGGAGAGCGGCUUACGUGGUAUUAGCUAGUUGGUGAGGUAACGGCUCACCAAGGCUUCGAUGCCUAGGGGGUGUUAGCGCAUGACCCCCACGACUGGGACUGAGAUACUGCCCAGACACCUACGGGUGGCUGCAGUCGAGAAUCUUCGGCAAUGGGCGCAAGCCUGACCGAGCGACGCCGCGUGCGGGAUGAAGGCCCUUGGGUUGUAAACCGCUGUCAGAGGGGAUGAAGUGCAGGUGGGCUAUCCCACCUGUUUGACAUAGCCUCAGAGGAAGCACGGGCUAAGUUCGUG